AAGCAGGUUGUAUAGCCCGAACCAAAGAUUCACCAAACAAAGGGGGAAACAACACCAUCAUCAUCAACACCAAGAGCACCAGCUGCCACAUGGGGGAGACUUCAAAGACUCAUGAAAGCACAAAUAGGAACAACUCCACCACUUCAUAGGACAUUCACGGCUUCAACAAGCUGAGCUCCAAGUAAGCUAGAGAUCAAAUUGCUGAUAGAUAAAAUAACUAGCAACCAGGUGCUAAAAAAAUCGGGGGAAUAUAUAGCAGAGUUCAUGCAUCUCAUUCUCAUAUAAUUAAGAGGGAGUUGUUGAUUAACGACUGGAUCGAUACCAUCACAUUCCUUGAGUUAUCAACCAAUACAGGAAUUUCUAGAUUCAAACUACUAAAAUUUUACCAAAGCAUAUUUACACUAAAACAAAAUUUGCCAACAAAAAUCAACACACAUGCAACUUACUUAUUCAUAGCUCAACUUGAUUAUGGAGAGGGGAAGGAUAGGGUUGGGUAGCAGUCAUCCCUUACUGCUCUGGAAUAGGGGAUGGCCACUAAUCGAUUGCAAAA
Molecule: unclassified non-coding RNA, 550 nt
Filed under: Hevea brasiliensis (rubber tree)
Lineage: Eukaryota; Viridiplantae; Streptophyta; Magnoliopsida; Malpighiales; Euphorbiaceae
Source: RNAcentral